ACUCAUCUCCUUAUCACAUUAUAUAAACACACACCGAGAACACGAAAAUGGAAGAAGCUGAAAAAUCGCUUAAAAACGAGAGAAAAACGGAGGGACAAAAAAUAGAGUGAGAAUCCACUGCUUCUUCACCAAAGAACCAGUGAAAUCUCCCACAAAAUUUCAGCUUAAAACUAGCUAAAAACAGUCCUUAAAUAGAUCCCAAAUCAGUCCCACAACAGUCCCAUAUUUCCACUUGAGACCAGCCUCUAAGUCCACCUUGAACCCACUUGAAAACUCCAUUAAAAUCAAUGGCAAAAACAGUCCAAAUCUCUGCCAUUAAAAACGUCCAGGCCUAGUCGAGUACGUCCGAGGUUCGUCAAAUUCCGGCGAUCUUCGAAGUCGAGGUUCCAAAGUCACGGUCUUGGUCAUCUUUCAGUUUUGAGCAAACAAAGUCAGAUUUUCCUUGCUAAAAGGUUAUUUUGCACUCUACUAAUCUUCCUCGUUAAAACACUGCUGCGAUGUCUUGGUUAAGUGGCUUUGAGUUUGAAUAAAAUGUCACAUUUCUGAUAAGCAUGUUAUUAAUUUUAAUUUAAUCUUUUGUUUGCUCACACCAUGUUUAGUAUUUGUCUUUGGUAAAUGCUUAGUAGAUUGUAUUUGUUAGUAUGCGGAUGAACGUCUUUGUUUAUUGCUUGAACAAGAAAGAAUGUAGUUUGUUUAUUAGAAAUUAGAAUUCUGUCGUAAGAGCCGUGAAUUUUUCUAUUAAGAAUUAAAAACACUUUCGAUUGUUCCAUUUUGUUAAAUAUCCUAAAUUAAUCGGUUGAGUGUUUGGUUGAUGAAAGUUUAUUAAAGAUCCAUCCCUACCGUAUUCAAUUGUUUCAUUCAUGUCAUUCACUGUUCACUCCCUUAUGGCUUAGUCUUCUUAGAUAUUUGAUUAUUACUAUAGGAGUAUUAAUUUAGUCACAUAAUUUUUAACAAAAUUAGUUUUUUUAGGAAAAGAAUUCAUCGUACCUUGCUUUAGUCGCGAUUAAUAAUAAAUCAUCGUAACUAUGAGUACGGUUUCUGUGGCAUAGUCAUGAUACGUAAAUCCCAAUUCGAGUAUGUGUUCACGCGACUUGACCAAAACUUCAAAUAAUAAUAAUAAUAAUAAACAUAUUGUAAAUUCCGGGUGCAUUUUACGUGGCGCGGUUUGCAAUGUGUACCAAAACGACAAGUGUACGAUAUCGUAACUAAUUCAAAAAUAACUCUAUAAAUACUAAAAGCGGUUAAAUAAAUAAUUAAAAACGGUAAUGCAUGAAAGGUUUUAAACAUGUAAUGAUUCAGAUAAUUAAGCCAUGUGUAAUUGUAAAUCGAUCGUGCUAAAAUCACGGAAUCCGGGAGUGACUCACACCUUCUCCCGGGUUAACAGAAUUCCUUACCAUGUCUUCUGGUUUUCGCGGACUUUAAAACAAAGUCAAAUUUCCUUGAUUUAGGAUUUAAAAUAAACCAGUGACUUGGGACACCAUAAAUUAUUCCUAGUGGCGACUCUAAUUUAUAUAAAUAAUCUUAUUUCGAACAAUGUCACUUUAAUUGAAAACCCCCCCUAUUCCCUCGGGAAAAAUAAGGUGUGACAGCUCUGGCGAUUCUACUGGGAAAAGAACCCAGAACUUCUGGUUCAGGGUCCAGAAUUCGAGCUUAGAAUAACUAUUAUAUUUGGCUUUGGUUUAUUAUCUGAUUUUUACAUGUUUGAGCCUAAUGUGCUAAAUCCCGCUUUUUACCGCUUUGAUAUUGUAUGAAGUGUAUAUAAAAUUGUUACGGCACCCUUCUUCUCUCUAAGUCUUCUAAAUCUUCUGGGAGCAUGCGCUUCGCAUGACUUCUUUUCUGUUAGAGUCAUACCCCUAAUUUUAGAACGAGGAUCGGACAAGUUACAAAGACGGUAAAACUUUUGUAUUCCCCCCCCCCCUCCCUUUCCCGACUCGAGUUGUCCGCUCGGGUAAGCCAGGUAUAGAAUAACACAUCCCAGGAUUUAAACCUAGAAUAACAUAGCCGCAUGCCGAAUACCUAGUAGGAACGUUUGUUUGCAUCACGUGCAUUUGAUUUUGCUCCAAUAUAAAAGACCAUCUUGAUACAUUUUACGUGUUACUUGUGCAUUUUUUUUAUUUUGGCUUGCAGGUUGACAGACUUCUAGAAUAGGGAAAGAAAACCAAAAAAAACAGAAAAGAGAAAAUUGACCUGGUUCCUGAAAAUCCCAGUAUUUUUAAAAAAGAAAAAAAAGAUUCUGAAACUCUAACGAAUUUUUAGAAGGUGGUCACAAAUGACUCCAGAUUUUCAAAAAUGACAUUUUUCCCCAGUCCUGAAAAACUAACCGAACUACGCGGGUCUGAUUCUCACCGGAUGUGAGAUACGUAGGCAAACCUCAUCGGUUCCAACCCCGAUUUUCAAAAAAAAAAAAUUCAAAAAUAUUUUCCCUUCCCUUAAUUCCCUUCAAAAAUAGAAUUCUUUCCUUAGAAAAUCCAAAAAGAAAAAUUUAAAUCCAAAAAUAUUUUCUUUCUUUUCCAAAGUCUUUCAUUCGAAAAAAAAAAUUUCAAAUCAAAGUUCAAAGUAUUUUCUUCCUCUUUAGAAUUCUUUCUUUUAAAAAGAAAAAUUUCAAAUUCCAUAAAACAAAACUAAAAAAAUAUAUUUAAAAAUCUUUAUAAAAAAAAAGAAAAAGAAAAAUGGGAUCGGGUUCAUUCAACCCGCAAGAUCGGCGUCAUGAUACGUAGGCAAUCCUCAUCGGAUUCGAUCAUAACCAUUAAUAAACCGUGUGAAAAAAAAAUAGAAAAAGAAAAAGAAAGAAAGGAGUGACAAAAAAAUAACAAAGAGCAAAAAAAGAAAAAAAUCAAGAGCGAAAAAUAGAACUCUUUGUCCAAUUUGAAAAAGAAAAUCGUGGAAAACUUGUAUGGGUAUACUGUCAAAUGGUGCGAGCAAGCCGACAGGGAAAAACCUCCAAUGGACGAAGCAUAAAUGGUUAUGGUCUUUCUACAUGCGCAAGAGGCGGACUACUUCCGGAACAUGAUGGUAACCCGUUUGCCGAAGCUAUCAAAAUUGGGGAGAUGAUCGAAAAUGAUUUAAAAACAGGUCGAAUCUUGAGUCAUGCUGCCUUUAAGGCCACAUGGCAGACCGUUCAAAUUGGUUCGGGGGUGUUUGAUGAAUAUAACUAGGGAGGAAGAGGGAACCAUGAUGGCUUUGAGCUCGAGGGGGCCCGCAAGUUAUUCAACCAAUCAUAUAUGCUUCCUAAAGUCCCACAACACUAUUAUCCCCAUCAAUAUGAUGCUUAUUCCAUGACACUGCCUCCCUAUACAGUGAUGAGUGCGCAACCUUACACGCGGCUAGAGCAUUAUACACAAAACCGAGCUUCACAUCCCAAAAAUUCCCGACCCUACCAAGCUCCAUAUAAUCCCCAACCAAAUGUUCCCCAAUAUAAUCCUCGCCCAAGAGAUCCCCUCAGAAGGCAUCAGUUCAUCCCAAUUGAUGAAUCAUAUUCAAGUUCGUUUCAAAAGGUAAUCGGACUAGGUCUGCUGCAGCCAGUGGCCCCGAAGCGGCCAAACCCCGAGUCCCCCUUGCACCAAGCUGAUGCUGGAUGUGAAUACCACUCUAGAGCAGUGAGUGUUACACCAUGUGCGUCCCAAGGUGGCGUAAUGAAUAUGAAACUUAUUAAUUAUUAUUUAAAUGAUUUUAAAGUCAUAAUAUGGCUAUAUAUGAUAUUUGGAUAGAAAAUAUGAAGUUUGGGAAAUAUCGAAUUAAAGUUGCGGAAAAAGCGACUAAAGAUUUGGCUUGUAACAGAGCUUUUUGAGAAAUAAAAUUUAUGUGCUAUAUGUAUUCUUUUUGGGACAUAUUAUAUACCAAAUUGAAGGUCUUGGAAUUUAGUUUCCAAUGCUCUUAACCGUUCGUUCAUACGACACCCAAAUAAAAAGUUAUAAGCGUUGGAAGAAGGACCAAUGCUAGGGUGCCAAGUAGCACCUUUUGACUUUUCAAACAAAAUGGAUAUUUAUAUCUUUAUCUCGUUUCAUUCUUCAAUUUUCCAGAACACACAACCAAAUAAGACCCCUAACUUUACUCUUAAGCUAAGAUUAUCAUUCCGGGCACGAAAUCAAGAAACGAUAAUAUUUAAACGAUCCCUAUGGCGUAAGUAUCGCUAUAUCGCCUCUAUUUUUCUUUGUAGUUUGAGUUUUGGAAGGUACUUCAUAGUUAAUAAAACAUGUACUUUCUGUAUUUAAGUGUUUAAAUAUCAAGAAAGGUUGAUAAAUUCGUUUUCUAAUAGGUAGAACUCACGGGACAGUGAUCGGAAGCCGUGAGUUCGAGUUAUUCACUUGUAGCGGACUGUUUUGUGGAUUAUUUUUUGUUGUGGUUGGGCUGCGUGUUUUACUUCUAUUUUUUGGAGUUUUGGAGGAGUAAGUCUGUGUAGAAACACCACAUAAAUUCAGGGUAGUGCGCUAGUUGUUCGUCGUAAUAAUUUUGGGCUGUUUGACACUACUACGGUGGUCGUUUUGUGUAUGAAGAGAUUGGGAUGUGUUGGGCUAUUUGUAAUAUUUUGUGGUGUAUAUAAGGCUGUAAAAUAAUGUAUAAAUGUUGAUAUUGUUAUGUUUGGUGUUAUCUUAAAGUUGAAGAAAGUAAGGAUUAUAGGGGAGAUGCUUCCCGUUUUAAUACAAAAUAAGCUUGUCGUUCGUUGUGCGAUAGUUGUACUUUUCGUAACUUAAUGAUAGUAUUAUUAUUAUUGUUGUUGUAGAUUAAGGUACGAAGAGGAGAGUUCAACUUGGUGAUUGGAAAGAUUGUGAUAAGGUAUGUUAAGGCUAUCACUUCUUUCCUUUUUGGCAUGAUCCAUAUGAUGCAAGAAAUGAGCAAGUAUACAACUUUCACAAAUAAUUCUAUUCCUAGAAGUACUAGGUUUGCCUAUAUUCUUGAUUCCCCAUAUGUCCUACUAUCAUAUCGUUUGUUCACGAAUCUUAUGAUAUUCCGAGUGAUCUUAUUGACUUACUUCAUUAUGUAUUGCAUCCAUUUAUACAUGUACAUUAACCCAUGAUCAGAUGACGUUAUAUACACGUAUAUUAUAUGUAUAUGAGGUAUGAGAAAAGGUUAUGGUGUUAUAUACGCACCACCACCUGAUCAGCUGAUAUACGUUGAUGAUUUUGCCCACAGCGACUGAGAUGAUAUGAUGGGAUACCCCCAGAGGCUUGAUGAUAUUAUGUACGCAUAUACCUAUGCAUGAUAUGACAUUUAUAUGCACAUACAUGACAUUAUAAAUUUUUCAUGAUUCACAGAGCUAUUCAGACUUGCAGGUUGAGUUCCUUACUCCAUAUUUCUUUCAUGCCUUACAUACUCGGUACUUUAUUUGUACCGACGUCCAUUUUUCCUGGGGACGCUGUGUUUGAUGCCCGCAGAUCCCGAUAGACAGGUUGAGAGUUCUCCUAGUAGGCUAUCUGCUCAGCAGAAGGUGUUUGUGCACUCCACUUGUUCCGGAGUUUCCUAUUUGGUUAGUAUAAUUUGAAUAUGUAUUGAUUGGUAUGGCGGGGCCUUGUCCCGACCUUUAUGAUGUUUAUGUAGUAUUAGAGACUCUUAGACAAAUGUCACGUAUAUGGAUACGUGUAUGGCCUUAUCAGCCUAUGUUUUGAGUAUACAAAUGAUCAUGUCGGCCUUAUAGGCCCGUAUGUCACAUGCAUGAGUUUUUAUAUCAUGUUGGGUCGUCCUAUGUCUAGUAUUCCCUUAUGUUUUAUUCUCGUUAUCUCAUGACGGACCUUCUGGGCCACUUACCCAUGACGGUAUGAUAAGAAAGAUAUGUUACAUUAGUACUCGGUUGUGUAAGGCACCGGGUGCCCGUCGCGGCCCUACAGUUUGGAUCGUGACAAAAGUGGUAUCAGAGAAGUUCUAUCCUAGGGAGUCUACAAGCCGUGUCUAGUAGAGUCUUGUUUAUGGGUGUGUACUACACCAUACUUAUAAGCAGGAGGUUACAUGGAAUUUAGGAUUGUCACUCUUUCUUCUUACUCUAGAUCGUGUGGUAGAGAUCAAUUGUAAGAAAUUCAGAAUCCUAAAUUCUAUUAUAUUCGUUAUACAACGAUAUCUACAUCUAGAAAGACAGUUGGUAAGAGAUUGAAUGUGGCUGUGGAAGAGUUGAGUCAUCGAUUUUGCAUCAUGCUUAUGAUAAGUAAAUGUAAGGCCUUCAGUAGAUUAUGUGUGUACUACGGCGUGUGAGCUUCUUGAUAAGGAGCGCUAAGGCAUGAAUAUCUAUCUACCCCUAUAGUAAAAAGCAACGAGANNNNNNNNNNNNNNNNNNNNNNNNNAAGCUAGGUGAAGAAGGAUACGAGGUACCUAGUUAUUGAAUAUUAUAUGUAUUUACAAUUCAGGCAGAGAAAUAUAAGUAUUCUGAGUUACUUUCAACAAUAUCAAAGAUAUAUUCACUUGACAACACCCAUUUCAGUUAUGCCUUGUGGGAGCUAACAUAUAUAAUUUAAGGCCUAAUUUAUUUUUUUAAGAUUAAGACGUCUGAAUCUGAAUACAUAACUGAAUAUUCAGAUGUGUAUUAAGAUUAAGACAUCUGAAUCUAAAUACACAUCUGAAUAUAUAUAAUUUAUCUUUAUUUAAAAAUUAAUAAACAUAAAAUUGAAUAAAAUACUAAUUAAUCUAAUAGUGGUGGUUUUAGAUAGUAUCUAGUGGUGAUUGGAAGCGAUAAUGUACGAUUUUGAUUGAGGAUGGUGGUGGUAGAUGGUGAUAGCUAAUAAUGGUUGGUGGUGGUAGUUUAUAAUGGUGGACAAUGCUGGCUAUGGUUAUUGAUGGUGAUGGGGGUGGUGAGUGGUGGUAGUAGUGGCGGUUAUGGUUGAGGAUGGUGGUGAUGGUGGGGGUAGUAGUUGAUAAUGGUAGGCAGUGACGACAGUUAGUAUGGCAGUUGGUAAUGAAUGUGAGUGAUACCAUCUUAAUGAAAUUAAGUCUUUGUUAUAGAUCUUAAUCAUAUAGACCUAUUCAAACCCAUUAAGUGGCUGUGAAGUAAAAAAAACAAAAACACUUAAUGAUUAACAUCUAAAUGGUUAAGAUUCAGACUUUAAAAAUAAACGCACUUAAUGUCUUAGAUCUGAAUGAUUAAGAUUUAGACCUCCAUUAAGUGCAACCAAAUGAGGCCUAAGAGAAGGAUGGGAUAUCGGCAUCCAGCUGGGGUUAAAGUAACCCAAAAUUGUGGAUGGAUUGUUAUCAUUAGCUCACAUUUCCGAGGGAUAUUGCAAAUGUGGUAAUGGUUCUCCUUGUGAGACACCCAGAUGGUGCACUCUAGAAUAGUACAAUCAGAUAUGAUACUAGAAUGUUCAGAAAUUUCAGAAGAUUGGCAUUGGAACCCUAGAAGGGAUAAAUAUUUACCUUUGUAUGGCUUUCGUCCCUAGUAAAGAGGUAGUGUUAGGCGACCCGAAGAGCCAGUGAAUUGAAUCGGGGGGGGGGGGAGGCUAAAAGUGAAAGAAUGUUUUGAAGAAGCUUUCAUAAUAAGGUGAUAGACAGAAAUAUUAGCAGGAGAAUAAGAAGAAAGUAAAUGAAGCAUUAUGAGUAAGAUGUGAUAAAUAGAUGAUAACGGUAAAUCAAAAUAUGAGAGGACUACAAAUUCUAUAGUCAAGUGAAGGAAAUGACAAGAAGUUACAGGCCUUGAGACAAUAAAAGAGUAUAAGCCAUAAAGUGUCCCCAUUUUGAGAAAUGAGUUAGUGACUCAUACGUGAUUACCAGAAGGAAAAGUUAGACCCCCGAAAUAAUAGAAAUUAGUAUGGACAAGUGAAUAAGAUAAACUGAACAUAGAUUCGGGACCGAAUGAUUUGAUAAUAGUUGACAUCGUGAGAAUUUCAGAGAUCGCGUUCCGACGAUAAUUGAAUAGACAACAGAAGAAUAACCUUUAAAGGUCAUUCAGGAAGACGCUUCCCUAAAACGAGCACUGCGAGCAGAGUUAAGCUUAAGGGACUAAGUGUACCAGUUACACUAUGUGUCACCUUUGUAUGUAAGAAAUUAAAUUAUCCCUGGUACAGAAGGGCUACCGCAAGGCAAGUAAGAGUCUGUGAAGAUGUGAAAAGACGCCAAAUAUGAAGAGGUUAAACAUUUAUAGGUAAAUCUUCAUAGCAAUAAAUGUUAGUAUUCCCCUAAAGGGGGAAGAUGAUGUGAUAUGAUAUUAAGUCAGAGUUAUGUGGUUAAGGUAACUAUGGGAUAGUAAAGGAAGAAUGUGGUAGAAAGGAGAAAGGAAUGAGAUUGCAUUUAUUCAGAUCCUACGGAUAUGAUACGACUCCAGAACAUUAUGUAAGCGUGACGACGGAGAGAGGCAGUAAGGGUUCCAUCACUAGAUGUUAUUGAUAAAUAAGUGCAAAUGAACACUGGAUACAUAAGGAGCCAGUGUGCGAGGUAAGUUAAGACAAAGUAUAUAACCCAAGAGAUUUUACGUAGAAUAUAGAUAUGAGAAUGGACUAACGUGUAGUUAGUAAUUAAUUCAGGAAGAGCCUAGCCAUGGAUAAACAAGAGGAUAUAGACAAAUCAACAAGUUGUGCAAGAUAAACAUAGUGAAACCCAACAUAGGGAAUUCAGUCUCGCAAAUAUGAUGACAUCGUAAUCCUUGGAAAAUAUUCAUAUAGGAGUUGGGGUUGUUAAAUGUACCGUAUAAGUGUUACGAAAAAAAAUAAUGGUGCCACUGAUAAGACAGUAAAAAAUUUCAAUUCAGAAUCAACCUUACGAGCUCAAGGGCGCGAAGGUAAGUAAUUAAGGAUAAUUAUAGGUGAGUAAGAACGUCAAAAAAAUUCUUUCGGAUAUACAAUGUAAUAAGCUCGCAGCUUUACAGGAGUCAAAGUGUCUCUCUUAAGUACUACAAAGAAAGACUAGCUGAGGGAAUAAGGAAGAAGACUUUAACUUAAGCAUAGUGACAUAAGGAAGAAAUGGUCUUGUAACAAAAGUCUCACAACAACAUUGUAUGCACUCCAUUAGAAAGUGGCACCUAUCGUAGCUAAUGAAUGGGAAGAAAAAAAAAAUCAAAAGAUGAUAUUUGAGAUCAUAUGAGUUACAGGAAAUUCUAGUAUUUGUGGGUAAUGAGAUAAGCCUUGUAUUCAUGAAACAAGUGGCAGAACGACCAUGAAAAGUAAUUGCUUAUGUUUAAAGACAACUAAGAAAGCACGGGAAGAAUUAUCCGACCCACAAUUUAGAGUUAGCCGUAGUGAUUCAUGCACUAAAGAUGUGGAGGAACUAUUUAUAUGUCAUUCAUGUUGAUAUUUAUACGGAUCAUAAGAGCUUUCAAUAUAUCUUCAAUCAAAAGAUAUUGAAUUUACGCCAAAGGAGAUGGUUGGAGCUACUGAAAGACUAUGACGUUGAUAAUUUAUACCAUCCGGGGAAGGCGAUUGUAGUAGCUGACACCCUCAGCCGUAGAUCUAUGGGCAGCCUAUCAUAUUUACAACUAGAGAAGUGUGGGAUAGCCCAUGAGAUUUAUCAGCUAGCUAGUCUUGGAGUUCAAUUACUGGACUCAGGUGAUACCGGAGUUACUAUUCAUGACACGACAACAUCCUCUUUAGUAACUGAAGUGAAGGAAUGCCAGUACGAGGAUCCUGUGUUAGUUCAUUAUAGGUAUAUGACCCCUCAGAAGGAGAAGAAACCAUUUGAGAUUACAGAAGAUGGGGUCUUUAGGUAUCGAGGAAGAUUAUGUGUCCCUGAUGUUGUAGGGCUGCGCCAGCAGGUUAUGGGAGAAGCUCACUAUUCGCGUUAUUCUAUCCAUCCAGGAGCGACAAAGAUGUAUCAUGAUAUCAGAGGAAUAUACUGGUGGGACAAAAUGAAGAAGGAUAUAACAGAGUUUGUUGCUCAGUGCCCUAAUUAUCAGUAGGUUAAGAUUGAGCAUCAGAAACCCGGUGGAUUAUUAUAGGCUAUAAAGAUUCCGACUUGGAAAUGGGAAGUGAUUAAUAUGGAUUUCAUCAUAGACUUACCUCGUACCCAACGUAAGUUUGAUUCUAUAUGGGUUAUUGUCAAUAGAUUUACAAAAUCAACCCAUUUUCUGUCUGUCAGGACUAUUUAUUUAACAGAGGAUUAUGCAAGGCAUUACAUUAGGGAGAUAGUACGACUUCAUGGUGUAACUAUAUAUAUUAUCUCAGAUAGAGGUGCUCAGUUUACAGUUAAUUUCUGGAGGUCCUUCCAAAAAGCAUUGGGGACUCCGGUAAGUCUUAGUACAACAUUUCAUCCCUAGACAGACGAUCAGGCUGAAUAUACUAUUCAGACACUGGAGGAUUUUCCACGGGCUUAUGUGAUGUACUUCAGGGGUAGAUGGGAUGAUCAUCUUCCUCUUAUUGAGUUCACAUAUAAUAAUAGUUAUCAUUCCAGCAUUCAGAUGGCUCCAUACGAAGCUCUUUACAGACGAAAGUGUAGGUCACCUAUAAGAUGGUUCGAGGUUGGGGAAACUAUAUUAGUAGGACCAUAGUUGGUACAACAGACAGUUGAGAAGAUUAAGCUUAUACGGGAAAGGCUAUAAGCAGCUCAGAGUCGUCAGAAGUCCUAUGCAGAUAAUCGACGACGAGACUUGGAGUUUCAGGUAGAUGAUUGGGUAUUCCUAAAGGUAUCACCAAUGAAAGACGUUAUGAGAUUUGGUAAGAAAGGAAAGAUUAGCCCUCGGUACAUUGGACCUUAUAAUUUUAUACGCAGAGUAGGCCAAGUAGCAUAUGAGUUAGACUUGCCUUCCAAAUUGGAGUUUGUACAUCCAGUAUUUCAUGUGUCAAUGCUCUUUAGGUGUAUUGUAGAUCCCUCUAAAGUCAUUCCAGUUGACGAUGUUCAUGUUACAUAGAAAAUAUCAUAUGAGGAAGCUCCCAUUGCUAUACUAGAUAGACAAGUUCGGAGAUUAAGAACUAAGGAUGUAGCUUCGAUUAAAGUACUUUGGAUUAACAAUAAUGUGGAGGAGAUGAAUUGGGAAGCUGAAGAAGAAAUGAAGACUAGGUAUCCUCACUUGUUUCCACUUCCGGAGGAGGAUCAGACUGAGACAUUACAACCAUUAGGCACAUAUAUGGUACUUAAUUCUUAUGUUAGUUAUUAUUAUUGGUCGUGUGAGGCCAUUGGUGUUAUUGAUGAUUGUGGACCUGUGUGGAUUUGUAUUGUUGGGUUUGCUGUAUGAUAGGUUGGUAGUAGUACCGUUACAUAGGGGACUCUGCCAAAAUUUCUAUAGAUUUCUGGGAGUUUAACAUUCGAGGACGAAUGUUUCUAAGGGGAAACAAUUGUUACACCCUAUGCGUCCCAAGGUGACGUAAUGAAUAUGAGACUUGUUAAUCAUUAUUUAAAUGAUUUUAAAGUCAUAAUAUGGCUAUAUAUGAUGUUUUGAUAGAAAAUAUGAAGUUUGGAAAAUAUCGGAUUAAAGUUGCGGAAAAAGCGACUAAAGAUUUGGCUUGUAAUAGAGUUUUUUGAGAAAUAAAAUUCAUGUGCUAUAUGUGUUCUUUUUGGGAUAUAUUAUAUACCAAAUUAAAGGUCUUGGAAUUUAGUUUCCAAUGCUCUUAACCGUUUAUUCAUACGACACCCGAAUAAAACGUUAUAAGCGUUGGAAGAAGGACCAAUGCUAGGGUGCCAAGUAGCACCUUUUGACUUUCCAAACAAAAUGGAUAUUUAUAUCUUUAUCUCGUUUCAUUCUUCAAUUUUCCAGAACACACAACCAAAUAAUUCCCUAACUUUACUCUUAAGCUCUCUGUAAGAUCUUCAAACAAGAUUAUCAUCCCAGGCACAGAAUCAAGAAACGAUAACAUUAAAACGAUCCCUACGAUGUAAGUAUCGCUAUAUCGCCUCUCAUUUUCAUUCCAGUUUGAGUUUUGGAAGGUACUUUAUAGUUAAGAAAACGUGUAAUUUCUGUAUUUAAGUAUUUAAAUAUCAAGGAAGGUUGAUAAAUACAUUUUCUAAUAGUUAGAACUCACGGGACAGUGAUCGGAAGUCGUGAGUUUGAGUUAUUCACUUGUAGCGGACUGUUUUGUGGAUUGUUUGUUGUUGCUGUUGGUCUGCAUAUUUUACUACUAUUUUGUGGAGUUUUGGAGGAGUAAGGUUGUGUAGAAACACCACAUAAAUUCAGGGUGGUGGGAUGAUCGUUCGUCGCAAUAUUUUCGGGCCGUUUGACACUACUACGGUGGUCGUUUUGUGUAUGAAGAGAUUGGGAUGUGUUGGGCUGUUUGUAGUAUUUUGUGGUGUAUAUAAGGUUGGAAAAUAAUGUAUACAUGUUGAUAUUGUUAUGUUUGGUGUUAUCUUGAAUUUGAAGGAAGUAAGGAUUAUAGGGGAGAUGCUGCCCGUUUUAAUACAAAAUAAGCUUGUCGUUCGUUGUGCGAUAGUUGUACCUUUCGUAACUUAAUGAUAGUAUUAUUAUUAUUGUUGUAGAUUAAGGUACGAAGAUGAGAGUUCAACUUGGUGAUUGGAAAGAUUGUGAUAAGGUAUGUUAAGUCUAUCCCUUAUUUUCUUUUUGGCAUGAUCCAUAUGAUGCAAGAAAUGAGCAAGUACGCAACUUUCACAAAUAAUUCUAUUCCUAGAAGUACUAGGGUUGCCUAUGUUCUUGAUUCCGAGAGAUCUUAUUCACUUACUUUAUUAUGCAUUGCAUCCAUUUAUAUAUGUACAUUGACCCAUGACCAGAUAACGUUAUAUAUGCGUAUAUUAUAUGUAUAUAGGGUAUGAGAAAAGGUUAUGACGUUAUAUACGCACCACCACCUGAUCAACUGGUAUACGAUGAUGAUUUCGCCCACAGUGACUGAGAUGAUAUGAUGGGAUGCCCUCAGAGGCUUGAUGAUGUUAUGUAUGCAUAUACCUAUGCAUGGAAUGACAUUUAUAUGUACAUCCAUGACAUUAUAAAUUUUUCAUGAUUCACAGAGCUAUUCAGACUUGCAGGUUGAGUUCCUUACUCCAUAUUUCUUUCAUGC
RNAcentral lists this long non-coding RNA (12842 nucleotides) under Nicotiana tabacum (common tobacco). Its description in RNAcentral is "long non-coding RNA (NTAB_LNC014095)". The record is from RNAcentral. Lineage: Eukaryota; Viridiplantae; Streptophyta; Magnoliopsida; Solanales; Solanaceae.